Molecule: ribosomal RNA, 1512 nt
Filed under: metagenome
Description: bacterial SSU rRNA
Rfam family: Bacterial small subunit ribosomal RNA
Source: RNAcentral
GUUUGAUUCUGACUCAGAACGAACGCUGGCGGCGUGGAUAAGACAUGCAAGUCGAACGCUCAUUGCCGGGUAGCAAUGUUCGGUAGUGGGAGUGGCGCAAGGGUGCGUAACACGUGGGUAAUUUGCCAUAAAGUUGGGGAUAACUCGCUGAAAGGUGAGCUAAUACCGGAUGUGGCUGUUGAAAGGCGACUUUCGAUAGCCAAAGUUGGGGACCGCAAGGCCUAACGCUUUAUGAUAAGCCCGCGACCUAUCAGCUAGUUGGUGAGGUAACGGCUCACCAAGGCUAAGACGGGUAGCUGGUCUGAGAGGACGACCAGCCACACUGGAACUGAGACACGGUCCAGACACCUACGGGUGGCAGCAGUCGAGAAUUUUUCUCAAUGGGCGAUAGCCUGAAGGAGCGACGCCGCGUGGGGGAUGAAUGGCUUCGGCCCGUAAACCCCUGUCAUUUGCGAGCAGACCCUCUUACCUAAUACGUAAGAGGCUGAUAGUAGCGAAAGAGGAAGGGACGGCUAACUCUGUGCCAGCAGCCGCGGUAAUACAGAGGUCCCAAGCGUUGUUCGGAUUCACUGGGCGUAAAGGGUGCGUAGGUGGUGGUGGAAGUUUGAUGUGAAAGCUCCGAGCUUAACUCGGAAAAUGCAUUAAAUACUCUACCGCUUGAGGAUUGGAGGGGAGACUGGAAUUCUCGGUGUAGCGGUGAAAUGCGUAGAUAUCGAGAGGAACACCAGUGGCGAAAGCGAGUCUCUGGACAACUCCUGACACUGAGGCACGAAAGCUAGGGGAGCAAACAGGAUUAGAUACCCUGGUAGUCCUAGCUGUAAACGGUGCACAUUUGCUGUGAGCGGAAUCGACCCUGCUCGUGGCGUAGCUAACGCGUUAAAUGUGCCGCCUGGGAAGUACGGCCGCAAGGUUAAAACUCAAAGAAAUUGACGGGGGCCUGCACAAGCGGUGGAGUAUGUGGCUUAAUUCGAUUCAACGCGAAGAACCUUACCUGGCCUUGACAUGUAGGUAGUAGAAACCCGAAAGGGUGACGAUUCCGCAAGGAAAGCUUACACAGGUGCUGCAUGGCUGUCGUCAGCUCGUGUCGUGAGAUGUUGGGUUAAGUCCCGCAACGAGCGCAACCCUCAUGUCCUGUUGCAACCCGAACGAGAGUUUGGGGCACUCUGGACAGACUGCCUCGCUAUAACGGGGAGGAAGGUGGGGAUGACGUCAAGUCAGGAUGGCCCUUACGGCCAGGGCUGCACACGUACUACAAUGCCCGGCACAAAGGGACGCGAAACCGUAAGGUGAAGCAAAUCCCAGAAAACCGGGCCCAGUUCAGAUUGUCGUCUGCAAUUCGACGGCAUGAAGCUGGAAUCGCUAGUAAUGGCGCAUCAGCUACGGCGCCGUGAAUACGUUCCCAGGCCUUGUACACACCGCCCGUCACAUCAUGAAAGCCAUUUGUACCCGAAGUCGCCCCUUAAAAGGUGCCGAAGGUAUGGACGGUGAUUGGGAUGAAGUCGUAACAAGGUA